GGGGGGGGUCGGGCAUAGGUGGGGCAUUUGACUUUUUGAGCAAAUUUUCAAUCAAAUGCCCCACCGUCGGGCAAUAAAUAUCGGUCAAAUGCCCCACUAUUUUGCAAUAAAUUGCAAUAAAUACUAUAUUAAUAAAGGUUAAUUGAUAGGUGCAUAAUGUCCAAACUCUAAAGUAUUAUAAACAAGCAGAACAGACCACUUAUUGCAAGUUGCUAGUAAGUCAUAUCAACAUGUGAUCUCGACAAUACAGUGUAUAAACUAAAGUAAUUCAGCUUCUACACAUGAAGCGACUUUAAACACUAUCCUUAC
Non-coding RNA from Paramuricea clavata, 309 nucleotides. The record is from the annotation of a GenBank genome assembly. NCBI's taxonomy places the organism in Eukaryota, Metazoa, Cnidaria, Anthozoa, Malacalcyonacea, Plexauridae.